RNAcentral lists this ribosomal RNA (292 nucleotides) under uncultured bacterium. RNAcentral describes it as "partial 16S ribosomal RNA". It matches the Rfam family "Bacterial small subunit ribosomal RNA", at positions 505 to 796 of the family's 1533-position model. The record is from RNAcentral.
GUGCCAGCAGCCUCGGUAAUACGAAGGGGGCUAGCGUUGUUCGGAAUUACUGGGUGUAAAGGGUUCGUAAGCGGUGCGGCAAGUUGGGAGUGAAAUCUCUGGGCUUAACCCAGAGGCUGCUUCCAAAACUGCUGUGCUUGAGUGUGGGAGAGGCGCGUGGAAUUGCAGGUGUAGCGGUGAAAUGCGUAGAUAUCAGGAGGAACACCGGUGGCGAAAGCGGCGCGCUGGACCACUACUGACGCUGAGGAACGAAAGCUAGGGGAGCAAACAGGAUUAGAAACCCGCGUAGUCC